GGGAAAUGACUUCGCUCCGGCUUCAAUGCUGAGGAAAGUCCGCCCACGCUAGAAAAGGCCACCUGUAAAGGAUCCUGUAAGGGAUGGCAACAUCUCAGAAACGGAACGCCCAAGAUUCGCGAUGAGGCUUGCGAAGGUUUUGGCAACAAAACUGAGCUAACCAGCCGAGCUUGUUUUUUGGAAACGGUGAAACGGAUAGCCCUGGCCCGUGCAAGUCCUUUGUGACGCUAAGUUUAAUGCGAAGACAGACUGUCCUAACGGAGUCUGACAAAAGGCGGCUUAUCAUUUCCC
Molecule: RNase P RNA, 291 nt
Filed under: Candidatus Woesearchaeota archaeon
Lineage: Archaea; Nanobdellati; Candidatus Woesearchaeota
Description: RNase P RNA component
Rfam family: Archaeal RNase P
About the family: Ribonuclease P (RNase P) is a ubiquitous endoribonuclease, found in archaea, bacteria and eukarya as well as chloroplasts and mitochondria. Its best characterised activity is the generation of mature 5'-ends of tRNAs by cleaving the 5'-leader elements of precursor-tRNAs. Cellular RNase Ps are ribonucleoproteins.
Source: RNAcentral